This 253-nucleotide ribosomal RNA is filed under the name uncultured bacterium. RNAcentral describes it as "partial 16S ribosomal RNA". It matches the Rfam family "Bacterial small subunit ribosomal RNA", at positions 524 to 776 of the family's 1533-position model. The record is from RNAcentral.
UACGUAGGGUGCGAGCGUGGUCCGGAAUUAUUGGGCGUAAAGAGCUUGUAGGCGGUCUGUCGCGUCUGCUGUGAAAAUCCGGGGCUCAACCCCGGACUUGCAGUGGGUACGGGCAGACUAGAGUGUGGUAGGGGAGACUGGAAUUCCUGGUGUAGCGGUGAAAUGCGCAGAUAUCAGGAGGAACACCGAUGGCGAAGGCAGGUCUCUGGGCCACUACUGACGCUGAGAAGCGAAAGCAUGGGGAGCGAACAGG